UCCGUAGGUGAACCUGCGGAAGGAUCAUUAGUGAAUUAAACAUGCUUGGUGUCUUCGCUUCGGCAAGGCCCUUGCUUAACUCACAUCCCAACACCUGUGAACUGUAAGGCGCAUGACUAGGUUCGCCCAAGUCAUCGUCUGCCCUUUUUAACAAACAAUUAAUGUAACAAACGUAGUCUUAUUAUAACCUAAUAAAACUUUCAACAACGGAUCUCUUGGCUCUCGCAUCGAUGAAGAACGCAGCGAAAUGCGAUAAGUAAUGUGAAUUGCAGAAUUCAGUGAAUCAUCGAAUCUUUGAACGCACCUUGCGCUCUUUGGUAUUCCGAAGAGCAUGCCUGUUUGAGUGUCAUGAAAAUAUCAACCUUGACUUGGGUUUUGUGCUCUAGUCUCGGCUUGGAAUUGGGUGCUUGCCGCUUUUACGAGCGGCUCACCUUAAAUGUAUUAGCUGGAUCUGUCUUUGAGACUUGGUUUGACUUGGCGUAAUAAGUAUUUCGCUAAGGACAUUCUUCGGAGUGGCCUCGUUUCUAGGACGCUUGUCCGCUUUCCAAUACAAGUUCCACCUCGGUGGGACAUGGACUUUUUAUUAUCUGGGCCUCAAAUCAGGGUAGGGACUACCCGGCUGGAACUUAAGGCAUAUCAAUAAGGGCGGAGG
RNAcentral lists this ribosomal RNA (652 nucleotides) under uncultured fungus. RNAcentral describes it as "eukaryotic LSU rRNA". The stretch from base 196 to 349 matches the Rfam family "5.8S ribosomal RNA". The record is from RNAcentral. Lineage: Eukaryota; Fungi.